AGAAAUUUAGGUUAAACAGACCAGAAGCCUUCAAAGCUUCAAGUAAGCCCUCACCGCUUAAUUUCUG
This 67-nucleotide transfer RNA is filed under the name Tupaia belangeri yaoshanensis. RNAcentral describes it as "tRNA-Trp". The record is from RNAcentral. Lineage: Eukaryota; Metazoa; Chordata; Mammalia; Scandentia; Tupaiidae.